RNAcentral lists this ribosomal RNA (459 nucleotides) under uncultured bacterium. Its description in RNAcentral is "partial 16S ribosomal RNA". It matches the Rfam family "Bacterial small subunit ribosomal RNA", at positions 338 to 795 of the family's 1533-position model. The record is from RNAcentral.
CCUACGUGUGGCAGCAGUGAGGAAUAUUGGUCAAUGGGCGGAAGCCUGAACCAGCCAAGUAGCGUGCGGGAUGAAGGCCCUACGGGUCGUAAACCGCUUUUGCACGGGGAUAACACCCUCCACUUGUGGAGGUCUGCAGGUACCGUGCGAAUAAGGGCCGGCUAAUUCCGUGCCAGCAGCCGCGGUAAUACGGAAGGCCCGAGCGUUAUCCGGCUUCAUUGGGCUUAAAGGGUGCGUAGGCGGAUUUUUAAGUCAGCGGUAAAAUGUCCGGGCUCAACCCGGGCCGGCCGUUGAAACUGGGGAUCUUGAGUGGGCGAGAAGUAUGCGGAAUGCGUGGUGUAGCGGUGAAAUGCAUAGAGAUCACGCAGAACUCCGAUUGCGAAGGCAGCAUACCGGCGCCCGACUGACGCUGAGGCACGAAAGCGUGGGGAUCGAACAGGAUUAGAUACCCCUGUAGUC